Molecule: long non-coding RNA, 810 nt
Filed under: Vulpes vulpes (red fox)
Lineage: Eukaryota; Metazoa; Chordata; Mammalia; Carnivora; Canidae
Description: lncRNA (ENSVVUG00000025480.1)
Source: RNAcentral
GGAAGUGAAUAGGUCAUAAUACAGUCUGUUACACACUGUAAUGGGGUGGGCAUAGCAGAUGCUAUGGGACCACACAGAAGGGGCAUCUUAACAGCAUGUUGGGGAAAUGAGAGAUGUCUUAAUACCGGAGAUGAUUUUUAAAAGAAGAACUUGAAUAGGAGAAAGGAGCUCUGGGGAAGAAGUAUAUUAGGCAGAGGAAAUAUUUAGGGUGAAGGCCAAGCAAAGCAAUUGUGUGGAAGGGGAAUGAGAAAGAUACUGUCUGAUGCUUUGAACUGCUCUGGACAAAGAAUAAAACCAGGUCCAGAAGUAAUCAGAAUAUCAGUUGGAUUAAGAUAAGAGCCAGAAAGAAUUCAAGGAGGAUGGAACUCUAGCUCAGCAGUGAAAAUCUCAAAGACCUCAAGAUGAGUCUUAAGGAAAGAAUAGUUUCAAUCAUCAGAAGCAGGGGAAAUGGCAGAGUAAGAGGAAAAGCCUGAGAUAGGCCAGAUAGAACAUUCUUCUCCCUGUUUCUUUUGUGUGAUGUUCUACUAGCCUAGAUUUGUGUCUCCCAGCCCCACACUUCCUUCUUAUACUUUUUUCAAAAUUCAUGUGGUUACAUUCUCCAUGAAGAUCUCUAGACCCACAGAGAGAAAACCAGUCCAUUCCUUUAGUCUACAGAGUUGCUUGAUUUGGGACAAUAAGGUUUCUCUGCUGGAAGAUGAUGAAGUGCACGUGGGUGGUGUAUAUGCUUCCUGGAAAACACAAGAAGUCAAUGGUGCACCUUUAUUAGAAAGAAAUCAACCAUGCACCUGUUUUAGAAGAGAGUUCUUUUGA